This 261-nucleotide ribosomal RNA is filed under the name uncultured archaeon. RNAcentral describes it as "partial 16S ribosomal RNA". It matches the Rfam family "Archaeal small subunit ribosomal RNA", at positions 748 to 1008 of the family's 1478-position model. The record is from RNAcentral.
CAGCCGUAAACAAUGUGCGUUAGGUGUGUCGGUAACCACGCGUUACUGAUGCGCCGAAGAGAAAUCGUGAAACGCACCACCUGGGAAGUACGGUCGCAAGGCUGAAACUUAAAGGAAUUGGCGGGGGAGCACCACAACAGGUGGAGCCUGCGGUUUAAUUGGAUUCAACGCCGGACAUCUCACCGGAUAAGACAGCAGAAUGAUGGCCAGGUUGAUGACCUUGCUUGACAAGCUGAGAGGUGGUGCAUGGCGUGUGACUGU